UUAAUAUAACUAAUAUAUAUUAUUUUUACACAAGCACGAUUUUUUUACAAAAAAUAAAAUAUAUAAUUAUGUGCCCAUUUUUAUUACAUAAUUCAUUAAAGUUUUUCUAUGCAAUAUUGCGUUUCAUGAAAUUAAAAUAUUACAAAUUUAACUAUAAAAUACUGUAGUAUCGUGGACAAAAGGCCUAAGAUAUCGGCCGAACCAGACGCUAAAGACAGUGUUAGUUGAGACGCCGGCGAGAACGAAUGCAAAAGGCGUACAGUGUGAGUUGAGAAGCGAGAGCGUGCGAGUGCAGAAGCCGAAGACUAGAGUUGUAGAGUUGAGAGAGUCAGUGAGAGUUGCGGAGUUGCAUGAGUUGCUAGCGUUGUAAAGAGAUCGAGUUGUUAGAGUUAUAGAGUUGCGAGAGUGAUUUGAGUAGAAUAAGAUUUUUGCGUUUAGUUCAAGUUGAACAUUUAUAGUUCUCUGUCUAAUUAAUCUCUGUUAUUUUUAUUUAUCUUAAAUAAAUAGUAUUAGGAGAAUUCUACAAAUCUAAAUUAUCCUAAUCCUAUUCUUUUCCGAUACUACAAUACCUUAAUUUU
This 578-nucleotide unclassified non-coding RNA is filed under the name Bombus terrestris (buff-tailed bumblebee). Its description in RNAcentral is "misc RNA ENSBTSG00005021929.1". The record is from RNAcentral. Lineage: Eukaryota; Metazoa; Arthropoda; Insecta; Hymenoptera; Apidae.